RNAcentral lists this ribosomal RNA (253 nucleotides) under uncultured bacterium. RNAcentral describes it as "partial 16S ribosomal RNA". It matches the Rfam family "Bacterial small subunit ribosomal RNA", at positions 524 to 776 of the family's 1533-position model. The record is from RNAcentral.
UACGGGGGGGGCAAGCGUUGUUCGGAAUUACUGGGCGUAAAGGGCUCGUAGGCGGCCAACUAAGUCAGACGUGAAAUCCCUCGGCUUAACCGGGGAACUGCGUCUGAUACUGGAUGGCUUGAGGUUGGGAGAGGGAUGCGGAAUUCCAGGUGUAGCGGUGAAAUGCGUAGAGAUGCGGAGGAACACCGAUGGCGAAGGCAGCCCCCUGGGCCAACACUGACGCUCAGGCACGAAAGCGUGGGGAGCAAACAGG